This 301-nucleotide ribosomal RNA is filed under the name uncultured bacterium. Its description in RNAcentral is "partial 16S ribosomal RNA". It matches the Rfam family "Bacterial small subunit ribosomal RNA", at positions 509 to 809 of the family's 1533-position model. The record is from RNAcentral.
CAGUAGCCGCGGUAAUACAGAGGGUGCGAGCGUUAAUCGGAUUUACUGGGCGUAAAGCGUGCGUAGGCGGCUUCUUAAGUCGGAUGUGAAAUCCCUGAGCUUAACUUAGGAAUUGCAUUCGAUACUGGGAAGCUAGAGUAUGGGAGAGGAUGGUAGAAUUCCAGGUGUAGCGGUGAAAUGCGUAGAGAUCUGGAGGAAUACCGAUGGCGAAGGCAGCCAUCUGGCCUAAUACUGACGCUGAGGUACGAAAGCAUGGGGAGCAAACAGGAUUAGAUACCCGAGUAGUCCCUGUCUCUUAUCU